UCCUUAGUGGUGUAGAGGUAACAUAACUCUCUUUCACAGAGUCGCCCGGGGUUCGAUUCCCCGCUAGGGAG
Trichophyton benhamiae CBS 112371 is the source of this 71-nucleotide non-coding RNA. The record is from Rfam. NCBI's taxonomy places the organism in Eukaryota, Fungi, Ascomycota, Eurotiomycetes, Onygenales, Arthrodermataceae.